CAGUCGCCGCGGGAAUACGAAGGGUGCAAGCGUUAAUCGGAAUUACUGGGCGUAAAGCGUGCGUAGGCGGUUUGUUAAGUCUGUUGUGAAAUCCCCGGGCUCAACCUGGGAAUGGCAAUGGAUACUGGCAAGCUAGAGUGUGUCAGAGGAUGGUGGAAUUCCCGGUGUAGCGGUGAAAUGCGUAGAGAUCGGGAAGAACAUCAGUGGCGAAGGCGGCCAUCUGGGACAACACUGACGCUGAGGCACGAAAGCGUGGGGAGCAAACAGGAUUAGAUACCCCCGUAGUCCCUGUCUCUUAUAC
Molecule: ribosomal RNA, 301 nt
Filed under: uncultured bacterium
Lineage: Bacteria
Description: partial 16S ribosomal RNA
Rfam family: Bacterial small subunit ribosomal RNA
Source: RNAcentral